UUCAAUGGGCGGGCCUUGGUAGGGGAGCCGCGAGGCUCGCCGGCUUGACGUAACACCGGUCUGUCACCCUGCCACGUGCCCGCUCACCCUC
Molecule: non-coding RNA, 91 nt
Filed under: Paraburkholderia sp. BL27I4N3
Lineage: Bacteria; Pseudomonadati; Pseudomonadota; Betaproteobacteria; Burkholderiales; Burkholderiaceae
Source: RNAcentral